This 77-nucleotide transfer RNA is filed under the name Helicobacter pylori 2018. RNAcentral describes it as "tRNA-Val". It matches the Rfam family "tRNA". Rfam says of the family: Transfer RNA (tRNA) molecules are approximately 80 nucleotides in length. Their secondary structure includes four short double-helical elements and three loops (D, anti-codon, and T loops). The record is from RNAcentral. RNAcentral also lists the same sequence under 1 other name. Lineage: Bacteria; Pseudomonadati; Campylobacterota; Epsilonproteobacteria; Campylobacterales; Helicobacteraceae.
GGUCGCGUAGCUCAGUUGGUAGAGCACUACCUUGACAUGGUAGUGGCCGCUGGUUCAAGUCCAGUCGUGGCCACCAU